This 1126-nucleotide long non-coding RNA is filed under the name Homo sapiens (human). Its description in RNAcentral is "HSALNT0094292". The record is from RNAcentral. Lineage: Eukaryota; Metazoa; Chordata; Mammalia; Primates; Hominidae.
CUUCGGCUCGCGCGCGGUGCACGCACCCACUGACGUGUGUCCACUGUCUGGCACUCCCUAGUGAGAUGAACCCGGUACCUCAGAUGGAAUUGCAGAAAUCACCCGUCUUCUGCUUUGCUCCCGCUGGGAGCUGUAGACCGGAGCUGUUCCUAUUCAGCCAUCUUGGCUCCUCCUGACUUUGUUUUUUUAUAAUCUUGCUUACAUGUUUUCAUGACUCCUGGCAUGGGGAGUAGCUACAGAGAAAUCUAAGAAUGGCCCUGUCUGAGAGAUAUGUUACCCUAAACACCAAGACUCAAUAUAUAUGACUUAAGAAAAAAAAGAUCCUUAUGCACUAUCUGAAGGUGAUGCUUCCUGACUUUUGCAACAGAAAGAAUGCUGUCUUCCUGUGCCUGCGGAGAUGAUAAUCAAGCUGGCACACUGACAAUCAAUGUAAAUUCAUUAAACAAAACAGGAAGUAAACAGGUAGGACAUCUUUCUCCUCUGUGCUCCUUCCUUUUCCUCAUGAGAGAAGAAUGGACUAACCUCAUUGAUUGAGAUUGUCAUGACAAUGUGUCUCCUCCCCUUUCCUUUCUGAUUCUGGGUUGAACCCCAAGGAAACAUGAUGAACCAGGUUGCAUGACUGUGAAGGCAGGAUAAAAGAAAAGCAGAAGAACCACAUUAAUCAUGGCAGACAUUGAUGAAGAAGGACAAUGAGGUUUUUCUGGUGGGUUUCUGGAGAAAUCAACUGUCAACAUUCUGCAAAACAAUCACUGACUCAAAAAACUCAAGAAGGGAGUAAAGAUAAUUAAUAAAGUAAAAGAUAUUGCCACCCCACUCUUCUUAUGUGGCGAUGCCUAAAGAAGAGAUCGCGCUGGCUGCAAUAAUGCCCCAAUGGUCAAGAUAUGCCAGUUAUUCAAAUUGGAAAAUCCAGGUAUAUUCAUGGAACUUACCAAUCUUUGGUUACUAGUAGGAAGUCUGCACAAGCAGCAACUACCACAGUUGUUCUAAAAACAGGGUGACAAAAGGCCACUCUUUCAGGCUAUGAAGACAUUUUGGCUUUUGUUUUCACAAUUAGAGACUCAGCAGCUUUCUGGACAGAAACUGCUGGAGUCCAGGCUAUGGCAUACUUGUUUCAUCUGCCCUCUCC